ACGUGGAAAGUUGAAUCUAGAAACAAGCAAUUGAAGCUCGCUCAGCCACUUCAACCGUCUUCUCCGAAUGAAUCCAGGUCGAAAAUUGUAACCCCAAGCUAUUCUUUGCCUCCAUAUCCACCCUUCACUGCAGAAUUCGGCAAGUACUCCGAUACGGUACCAAACCCACUGUGCGAACCAGAGCCGGAGCCACGUGGCACCUUGAAAAGAUACUAAAAGGAGAGCUUCACAUUGCAUCUAUUGCAGUCAAAAAGUAACCACCAAAUUUACCCCAAAAAAAAAAAAAAUCAAAAGACAAAUAACUACCAACCCACUCUCUCAGCACACUCACCAACCGCCAACAUGUCGACCACCGCACCGUCGCCAUCACCUUCACCACCACAACCGGCGGUCCUAAUCCCGUCCCUUCCAGACAACGUCGCUUUGAACUGCCUGGCUCGGAUCCCACGUUGGCACCACACGAGGCUCUCCGUCGUGUCGAAGCCAAUUCGGUCGCUUCUCUCUUCCCCUCUGUAUUUCACCACUCGCUCUCUCCUCAACUGCACCCAAACUCUUCUCUACCUCGCCGUCCGGUUGCCGCACCACCGCAACUCCUCCACCUGGUUCGCACUCUAUCAAAACCCCAACCCCAACCCAAAUCCCAAUUCCACCGCCAUUAACACAGCCAGCAACAAUCUUCUCGUCCCCGUCCCACCCAUUCCCGAACCUUCAAUCGGCUCCGCCUACGCCGUCCUUGGCUCCAAGAUCUACGUCAUCGGCGGCUCAAUCAACGACGUUCCAUCUUCCCACGUGUGGAUUCUCGACUGCCGCUUCCACACGUGGGAGCUCGGCCCAAGCAUGCGCGUGGGCCGCGAGUUUGCCGCCGCCGGAGUCGUUGACGGGAAAAUUUAUGUGAUGGGUGGGUGCGUGGUGGACUCCUGGGCCAGAGCUACCCAUUGGACCGAAGUGUUCGACCCGAUCGCGGGACGGUGGGAGGCGGUGCCGAGUCCCGUGGAGAUCAGGGAGAAGUGGAUGCAUGCGAGUGCCGUAGUGGGUGGGAGAAUCUAUGCCAUGGCGGACAGAGGAGGGGUGGUAUACGACCCGAGAGAGAAGGUUUGGGAAGGUGUGGGGAGCGAGAUGGACUUGGGGUGGAGAGGGAGGGCUUGUGUGGUGGAUGGUGUGUUGUAUUGCUAUGAUUACUUGGGGAAGAUUAGAGGGUUCGAUGUGGUGAAGGACGUGUGGAAGGAGCUCAAGGGUGUGGAUAAAGGGUUGCCCAAGUUUUUGUGUGGGGCGACCAUGGCCAAUGUGGGUGGGAGGUUGGUUGUGGUGUGGGAAGCCAAGGGUGGCGGAAAUGGGAAUAGGAAUGGGAAUGGGAAUGUGAAAGGGAAGGAAAUCGAGAUUUGGUGUGCUGAAAUUGAGGUGGCGGAGAAGGAGGGUGGGGAUCUGUGGGGGGAAAUUCAUUGGUCCGAGAAGGUUCUUUUGGUACCCAGUGGAUCUUCCAUUGUCCAUUGCGUUGCUGUUUCUUUGUGACAGCUUGGAGGAGCAAAAGGCACUCUCUGGGUUUGAAAAACUUUCUAACUUUAAACGGUUGAAGUUGUGAGGAGUUUCUUUUGCAAGGCCAUCUGUACAUAAUAAUCAUUAUUGCUAAUGUUAUCUUUGUUUCAAAAUAUCCCUUUCCCGUCAGGAUGUAACCGGGAGUCGGGGAGGAAACUUUACAUCGAGCACCACCAGCUCAGGCUCACAGCAUUAAGCUGCACCUUGGUCAGAGGCCUAUUGUAGAUUUGCAGAGUUCAAGCAAGAAAACAACUUGAAAAUCAUGUUGGAGAACUUGCUGAAAUUCGAAGCAGAUAUUGUUCAUUGUGUUGUAUCUAGAUCAUAUUAUCUUUUUUUGCUAGGCUUGUGGAUUGUGUAACCACAUAUUGAAUAAUUUAUGAUCAGUUAUAAGUUGAAUAACUUAUAAUCAAUGUUCUGUAAAGAAUAAUAAUUCGAAUGUAGUUUCUUGAACAAGUGUAAAUUUGGUGGUUUUUGGAACAUAAAUUAUUGUUAAUAAAUGGAAUGUAAAUCUUGGGUUA
Ziziphus jujuba (common jujube) is the source of this 2051-nucleotide RNA transcript. It is a transcript of the gene named F-box/kelch-repeat protein SKIP6, with no coding region annotated. NCBI's taxonomy places the organism in Eukaryota, Viridiplantae, Streptophyta, Magnoliopsida, Rosales, Rhamnaceae. The record is from RefSeq and is a predicted model, not a curated record. The transcript has 4 exons.